AAGUCGUAACAAGGUAUCCGUAGGUGAACCUGCGGAUGGAUCAUUAUUGAAAUCCACAACCACCCCAACUUCGAGUGUUUUGGCGGGUGCCGAAAGGCGCGGCCCGCUGUUAUUAACGCCAAACAUGGACGAAACAGCCAAAUGAGAACAACUUUUAACAACGGAUCUCUUGGCUCUC
RNAcentral lists this unclassified non-coding RNA (178 nucleotides) under fungal sp. RNAcentral describes it as "partial internal transcribed spacer region". The stretch from base 1 to 46 matches the Rfam family "Eukaryotic small subunit ribosomal RNA", at positions 1786 to 1831 of the family's 1831-position model. The record is from RNAcentral. Lineage: Eukaryota; Fungi.